RNAcentral lists this ribosomal RNA (424 nucleotides) under uncultured bacterium. Its description in RNAcentral is "partial 16S ribosomal RNA". It matches the Rfam family "Bacterial small subunit ribosomal RNA", at positions 354 to 796 of the family's 1533-position model. The record is from RNAcentral.
GUGGGGAAUAUUGCACAAUGGAGGGAACUCUGAUGCAGCGACGCCGCGUGAGUGAAGAAGGUCUUCGGAUCGUAAAACUCUGUCCUUGGUGAAGAUAAUGACGGUAACCAAGGAGGAAGCCCCGGCUAACUACGUGCCAGCAGCCGCGGUAAUACGUAGGGGGCUAGCGUUGUCCGGAUUUACUGGGCGUAAAGGGUGAGUAGGCGGUUAUGUAUGUCAGAUGUAAAAGGCGCGGGCUUAACUUGCGUUAGCAUUUGAAACUGCAUAACUUGAGUGCAGGAGAGGUAAGCGGAAUUCCUAGUGUAGCGGUGAAAUGCGUAGAUAUUAGGAGGAACACCGGUGGCGAAGGCGGCUUACUGGACUGUAACUGACGCUGAGUCACGAAAGCGUGGGUAGCAAACAGGAUUAGAAACCCCAGUAGUCC